GGGGUCGUAGCUCAGCCUGGUUAGAGCGCUGCACUGUCACUGCAGAGGUCGCGGGUCCGAGUCCCGUCGGCCCCGCCA
Molecule: transfer RNA, 78 nt
Filed under: bacterium
Lineage: Bacteria
Also listed under: 1 other name
Description: tRNA-Asp
Rfam family: tRNA
About the family: Transfer RNA (tRNA) molecules are approximately 80 nucleotides in length.
Source: RNAcentral